CCCUUAUAUGUUCUGGGCCGCACGCGCGCUACACUGUUCGACGCAGCGAGUCUUAACCUUGACCGAAAGGUUUGGGUAAUCUUCAGCAAAGUCGAACGUGAUGGGGAUCGAUCAUUGCAAUUAUUGAUCGUGAACGAGGAAUUCCUAGUAAGUGCAAGUCAUCAGCUUGCGCUGAUUACGUCCCUGCCCUUUGUACACACCGCCCGUCGCUACUACCGAUUGAAUGGUUUAGUGAGAUCUCUGGAUUGACGCUGGCUAGGGGGCGACCCUUGGCCAGGCUGUCGAGAAACUGCUCAAACUUGAUCAUUUAGAGGAAGUAAAAGUCGUAACA
This 331-nucleotide ribosomal RNA is filed under the name uncultured eukaryote. RNAcentral describes it as "partial 18S ribosomal RNA". It matches the Rfam family "Eukaryotic small subunit ribosomal RNA", at positions 1470 to 1796 of the family's 1831-position model. The record is from RNAcentral.